AGAACACACAACCCAGUUAAUUAAACUAUAUGUAUCAUGAUCAGGAGGCUCCAAUGUGUGCAUUUGCUGUACAGAUUCUGCAUCUUUAAGGACUACUGCAUUCUACUGCAUCUUUAAGGUUAAGACAUCACUUCUAAUCCAACUUGAAAAAGAAUGAAAACAUUUUGAGUAAAACUUGCCCAUUUGAUGACAGAGUUGUGUCAAAUUUGCCAUUUUUGUGCACACUUGUGGUAACAAAUACAUAUGAAACAAUAUGAAACAACCAGCUAAUAUCUGCCCCCUUCUAUGAGUAAAAAAUUCCUGCCUUUUUAUAGAAAAGUACAUAUAAGAAACCCACCCCCUCUCCUUUUGAAGCCCUUUUUUUCUGUUUCAAAGCAAAUAAACUAAUGUGUAAUAAACUAUUGAAUUUAUUAUUUGGGUGCAAGUACAUUGGGUAGUAAUUAUUGAUUCUACCUUAUUUUUAGUUAUGUACGGAAUAGUAUGAUUGACGUUUGCAUAAAAGAAACAUUAAGAGCAUGUUGAUGGGGGGUCGUUUUAUUAUUAGAUUAUGUGAGACGAGACAAAACAAAACAAGUGAGUUGUGAGCGUG
Molecule: non-coding RNA, 589 nt
Organism: Paramuricea clavata
Lineage: Eukaryota; Metazoa; Cnidaria; Anthozoa; Malacalcyonacea; Plexauridae
Source: the annotation of a GenBank genome assembly